GAUGAACGCUGGCGGCGUGCUUAACACAUGCAAGUCGAACGAUGAUGCCCAGCUUGCUGGGUGGAUUAGUGGCGAACGGGUGAGUAACACGUGAGUAACCUGCCCUUGACUCUGGGAUAAGCCUGGGAAACUGGGUCUAAUACCGGAUACGACCAUCUGGCGCAUGUCAUGGGGGUGGAAAGCUUUUGUGGUUUUGGAUGGACGAGCGGCCUAUCAGCUUGUUGGUGGGGUAAUGGCCUACCAAGGCGACGACGGGUAGCCGGCCUGAGAGGGGGACCGGCCACACUGGGACGGAGACACGGCCCAGACUCCUACGGGAGGCAGCAGUGGGGAAUAUUGCACAAUGGGCGGAAGCCUGAUGCAGCGACGCCGCGUGAGGGAUGACGGCCUUCGGGUGGGAAGCCUCUUGCAGUAGGGAAGAAGCGAGAGUGACGGUACCUGCAGAAGAAGCGAUGGCUAACUACGGU
This 467-nucleotide ribosomal RNA is filed under the name uncultured bacterium. Its description in RNAcentral is "partial 16S ribosomal RNA". It matches the Rfam family "Bacterial small subunit ribosomal RNA", at positions 28 to 507 of the family's 1533-position model. The record is from RNAcentral.